AGAGCGAACGCUGGCGGCAGGCCUAACACAUGCAAGUCGAGCGCCGUAGCAAUACGGAGCGGCAGACGGGAGAGUAACACGUGGGAACGUGCCCUUUGGUUCGGAACAACACAGGGAACUUGUGCUAAUACCGGAUAAGCCCUUACGGGGAAGAUUUAUCGCCAAAGGAUCGGCCCGCGUCUGAUUAGCUAGUUGGUGAGGUAACGGCUCACCAAGGCGACGAUCAGUAGCUGGUCUGAGAGGAUGAUCAGCCUCACUGGGACUGAGACACGGCCCAGACUCCUACGGGAGGCAGCAGUGGGAAUAUUGGACAAUGGGCGCAAGCCUGAUCCAGCCAUGCCGCGUGGAUGAUGAAGGCCCUAGGGUUGUAAAGUCCUUUCGGCGGGGAAGAUAAUGACGGUACCCGCAGAAGAAGCCCCGGCUAACUUCGUGCCAGCAGCCGC
This 443-nucleotide ribosomal RNA is filed under the name uncultured bacterium. RNAcentral's name for it is "SSU rRNA". It matches the Rfam family "Bacterial small subunit ribosomal RNA", at positions 26 to 518 of the family's 1533-position model. The record is from RNAcentral.